UAAGGUUAAGGAAGGUGACUAAGAAAGCACUUGUUCUUUGUAUUUACUAAAUGCUACACUACUCGCGAUAAGAGAGAUAUUCCAAUUCAGAACGGAAAGUCUCGUAGGUGAAAGGCAGAAUCAAAUCGAAAGGAAGCUACCCGCUCACUAUAGCCUGUUAGGACUCUAGCUUGGAGAGUCCUAAUUGAGAGGGACAUUCAUGUAAAACUGUUAGGACUCUAGCUAUGAGAGUCCUAAUUGAGAGGGACAUUCUGUUAGGACUCUAGCUAGGAGAGUCCUAAUUGAGAGGGGCAUUCAUGUAUGAGGUGUUUUCUUAGAGAAGAAUUAGGAGUUGUAAGGGAAUAGGAGUCUUGACUAGGAGUCCUACUAGGAGUUGGUUAGAAGUAAGAGUCUUAAGUAGGAGUCCUAUUAGGAGUUAGGGUUUAGAAGCCCUAUAAAUAGCCAUGUAUUCCUUCUCUUUUCAAAGGCAAUAGAUGAAUUUUUUCUGCAGCCUUUGAGCAGCAACUUGGAGGGAGGAACCCCUAUAGAGUUCCAAGGAGGCCGAUCCCCUAAAGAGAUCAACCCCAAGUUUAGAAUAUGCAAGGGUUCUAACAUAGCCCUCUGCUCCAACUUAAAUAAGUGUUAUCGGUGCUUGUCUAGGUUCGGGUGCUUGUGUGUUGCUUUGUAAUCUACUUUUUAGUGUCUUCCCGGAACUACGAUAGAAGAAAACGAGUAGUAUCACCCAUAUGUGUUAAGCAAUGAUCAAAUGUAGCAAAUAGGGAAGUAGUCGCUUGGCCGUCUUUCGCCUGCAGCCUUUGCUCUAAUCGCUCCCGCUGGUGGUAAAGUCCAUCUUCUAUGCUUAGCUUUGUUAUCAGAUCGAAGCAGGAGUAAUAAAUUAUGUAUGAAUGCCUGGACCGUAGUACCAUGUAAGAUCAACCUCAAUAUCCGGGUCUUAAUAAGUUCCAUAUAAGGUUAUUAAUAAGGUGGACACCGUCGGCAGGAAACAGCUGUAUUGCAUAAGGUGGGUUUAGAUAAUCUUCGGUGCACUCCCGGUCAAUAAAGUGGACCAGCAAUUCUGUAUUCUUUUGCUAGUGGAGUAGGGCCAAUCGUAUGAGGAUACAGCUAAGCUCAAAAGUCGGGGUCCUAUGCUAUGCUAUUUAUUAUGUGUAGAUCUGACUUGCAAAAGUAUCUCACGAUGCGUUAUAGGAGUGGCCAGGUGGUAUAAGAAUCCUUGCAAUCAUUAUACCUUACGUGCAGCAUAACAUAAGUAGAGGUCACAAGAUGAUCUAAAGUCCAUCUAAACCGGAAGCGUAGACAAUGGAGUUCAAUCGAUGGAGCAUAUUCCUCGAGCUACGGCCUUACUUGGUGGGUGGAAGGCAAGGGCUUUAUACUACUAAAUUCAUGAGUGGAACAAAUCUAGCUCUAAUAGUCCGAAU
RNAcentral lists this long non-coding RNA (1415 nucleotides) under Musa acuminata (dwarf banana). RNAcentral describes it as "long non-coding RNA (MACU_LNC008205)". The record is from RNAcentral. Lineage: Eukaryota; Viridiplantae; Streptophyta; Magnoliopsida; Zingiberales; Musaceae.